UAGAUAUCUACUGGAAACAGUGGAGAGGGAGGAGAUGAUAUGCAGCAAAAGGCCCAGCCGGAUGGUUGCUGCUCCGUGUGGAACGUGUUCUAUCAGGUGUAACAUCUACCAAUGGUUGUACAUGACAGAGACCUCCUCCACCUCUUUGCUGUCUUACUAGUCAAUCCUUCUGAUCAUGUCCUUUCCUAAAUAGUGAAAGGAUCAUGCCAGCCCACAUCAAACACCUGAUCAAGAACUUGUGAACCUCACUGCUGCGGACACCUGUGUGAUAUUCCACUCUGACUGGAACCCUCAAAAUGACCUGCAGGCUCAAGCUCGGUGUCAUCGUUUUGGCCAGUCUAAGGCGGUGAAGGUGUACCGUCUGAUCACUAGAAACUAUGAGAGGGAAAUGCUGGAUAAAGCUAGUCUGAAGGUCGGGCUGGACCGUCCCGU
Molecule: long non-coding RNA, 432 nt
Organism: Gymnodraco acuticeps
Lineage: Eukaryota; Metazoa; Chordata; Actinopteri; Perciformes; Bathydraconidae
Exons: 4
Source: RefSeq, a predicted model, not a curated record